Molecule: ribosomal RNA, 533 nt
Filed under: uncultured bacterium
Lineage: Bacteria
Description: bacterial SSU rRNA
Rfam family: Bacterial small subunit ribosomal RNA
Source: RNAcentral
AGAGUUUGAUCAUGGCUCAGGACGAACGCUGGCGGCGUGCUUAACACAUGCAAGUGGAGCGACGAACCAGGCUUCGGUCUGGGGCAGAGCCGCGAACGGGUGAGUAACACGUGGGUAGCGUGCCCCGAUGAUCGGGACAACCCGGGGAAACCCGGGCUAAUACCGAAUGUGCUGUCCCCACACCAGUGGGGAUUGGAAAGGAAGCUUCGGCCUCCGCAUCGGGAUCGGCCCGCGGCCCAUUAGCUUGUUGGUGAGGUAACGGCUCACCAAGGCUGCGAUGGGUAGCUGGUCUGAGAGGACGAUCAGCCACACUGGGACUGAGACACGGCCCAGACUCCUACGGGAGGCAGCAGUAGGGAAUCUUCCGCAAUGGACGAAAGUCUGACGGAGCAACGCCGCGUGAGUGAUGAAGGCCUUCGGGUCGUAAAACUCUGUUGUUAGGGAAGAACAAGUACCGUUCGAAUAGGGCGGUACCGUGACGGUACCUAACCAGAAAGCCACGGCUAACUACGUGCCAGCAGCGGCGGUAAUUC